RNAcentral lists this long non-coding RNA (299 nucleotides) under Nicotiana benthamiana. RNAcentral's name for it is "long non-coding RNA (NBEN_LNC021001)". Lineage: Eukaryota; Viridiplantae; Streptophyta; Magnoliopsida; Solanales; Solanaceae. The record is from RNAcentral.
UUAAAAACCUCUCACAACAACAAUGUGAGCGAGUCUCAAACACAACACAUAGCAAAACAAUACCAAUCAACGUGACACGUGAAAUUAUUAUUAUUUUUAAAAAGCUUCUUCAACAACCUCCGACCAUCAAUUACUUGUUGCCUUCUCUCAGUACUUUUAAGAUAAUCUGAGGAUGUUCUCGAGCGUGGACUGAGGUGAUGGGCAGAGUACCAACAUCAUCCAUCAUAGAGUUCGAGGAAGAAAAAGCCUCUAGAUUUGUAGAUGUUGCCAUUGACGAUGAGGAAUCGAUACAAACCAAC